Molecule: ribosomal RNA, 449 nt
Filed under: uncultured Pseudoalteromonas sp.
Lineage: Bacteria; Pseudomonadati; Pseudomonadota; Gammaproteobacteria; Alteromonadales; Pseudoalteromonadaceae
Description: bacterial SSU rRNA
Rfam family: Bacterial small subunit ribosomal RNA
Source: RNAcentral
CCUUCGGGUUGUAAAGCACUUUCAGUCAGGAGGAAAGGUUAGUUGGUUAAUACCCAUUAGGUGUGACGUUACUGACAGAAGAAGCACCGGCUAACUCCGUGCCAGCAGCCGCGGUAAUACGGAGGGUGCGAGCGUUAAUCGGAAUUACUGGGCGUAAAGCGUACGCAGGCGGUUUGUUAAGCGAGAUGUGAAAGCCCCGGGCUCAACCUGGGAACUGCAUUUCGAACUGGCAAACUAGAGUGUGAUAGAGGGUGGUAGAAUUUCAGGUGUAGCGGUGAAAUGCGUAGAGAUCUGAAGGAAUACCGAUGGCGAAGGCAGCCACCUGGGUCAACACUGACGCUCAUGUACGAAAGCGUGGGGAGCAAACGGGAUUAGAUACCCCGGUAGUCCACGCCGUAAACGAUGUCUACUAGAAGCUCGGAGCCUCGGUUCUGUUUUUCAAAGCUAAC